AUGCAGCUGAAGAGUCCCAAAUAGGACGAAACACACGUCCUAGAU
This 45-nucleotide non-coding RNA is filed under the name Schistosoma mansoni. Lineage: Eukaryota; Metazoa; Platyhelminthes; Trematoda; Strigeidida; Schistosomatidae. The record is from RNAcentral.